UGUGCCUACGGGGGGCAGCAGUGGGGAAUAUUGCACAAUGGGGGAAACCCUGAUGCAGCGACGCCGCGUGAGUGAGGAAGUAUUUCGGUAUGUAAAGCUCUAUCAGCAGGGAAGAAAAUGACGGUACCUGACUAAGAAGCCCCGGCUAACUACGUGCCAGCAGCCGCGGUAAUACGUAGGGGGCAAGCGUUAUCCGGAUCUACUGGGUGCAAAGGGAGCGUAGACGGAGGAGCAAGUCUGAUGUGACCAUCCGGGGCCCAACCCCGGCACUGCAUUGGAAACUGAUUAUCUA
RNAcentral lists this ribosomal RNA (292 nucleotides) under uncultured bacterium. RNAcentral's name for it is "partial 16S ribosomal RNA". It matches the Rfam family "Bacterial small subunit ribosomal RNA", at positions 334 to 643 of the family's 1533-position model. The record is from RNAcentral.